This 461-nucleotide ribosomal RNA is filed under the name uncultured bacterium. RNAcentral describes it as "partial 16S ribosomal RNA". It matches the Rfam family "Bacterial small subunit ribosomal RNA", at positions 339 to 795 of the family's 1533-position model. The record is from RNAcentral.
CUACGGGGCGCACCAGUCGAGAAUCUUCCGCAAUGGACGAAAGUCUGACGGAGCGACGCCGCGUGCGGGAUGAAGGCCUUCGGGUUGUAAACCGCUGUCAGUGGGGAGGAAAUGCAUCAGGGUUCUCCCUGGUGUUUGACCGAUCCGCAGAGGAAGCGCAGGCUAAGUUCGUGCCAGCAGCCGCGGUAACACGAACUGCGCGAACGUUAUUCGGAAUCACUGGGCUUAAAGAGUUCGUAGGCGGCCUUUCAAGUCGGGUGUGAAAUCCCUCGGCUCAACCGAGGAAUUGCGCCUGAUACUGUUGGGCUUGAGGGGGAUAGGGGUGAGCGGAACUGAUGGUGGAGCGGUGAUAUGCGUUGAUAUCAUCAGGAACACCAGUGGCGAAGGCGGCUCACUGGAUCUCUUCUGACGCUGAGGAACGAAAGCUAGGAGAGCGAACGGGAUUAGAUACCCUCGUAGUC